Molecule: ribosomal RNA, 449 nt
Filed under: uncultured bacterium
Lineage: Bacteria
Description: bacterial SSU rRNA
Rfam family: Bacterial small subunit ribosomal RNA
Source: RNAcentral
UAGGGAAUCUUGCGCAAUGGGCGAAAGCCUGACGCAGCAACGCCGCGUGCGGGAUGAAGACCUUCGGGUUGUAAACCGCUUUCAGUGGGGACGAAAACAGACGGUACCCACAGAAGAAGCCCCGGCCAACUACGUGCCAGCAGCCGCGGUAACACGUAGGGGGCAAGCGUUGUCCGGAUUUAUUGGGUGUAAAGAGCUCGUAGGCGGCUCAGUAAGUCAGGUGUGAAAACUCCAGGCUCAACCUGGAGACGCCACCUGAUACUGCUGUGGCUAGAGUCCGGUAGGGGAGCAUGGAAUUCCUGGUGUAGCGGUGAAAUGCGCAGAUAUCAGGAGGAACACCAGUGGCGAAGGCGGUGCUCUGGGCCGGUACUGACGCUGAGGAGCGAAAGCGUGGGGAGCAAACAUGAUUAGAUACCCCGGUAGUCCCUGAGCGGGCUGGCAAGGCGCAU